CUCGUAGGCGGUUUGUUGCGUCGAAAGUGAAAAUCCGGGGCUUAACUCCGGACUUGCUUUCGAUACGGGCAGACUAGAGGUAGGCAGGGGAGAGUGGAAUUCCUGGUGUAGCGGUGGAAUGCGCAGAUAUCAGGGGGAACACCGGUGGCGAAGGCGGCUCUCUGGGCCUUACCUGACGCUGAGGAGCGAAAGCGUGGGGAGCGAACA
This 207-nucleotide ribosomal RNA is filed under the name uncultured bacterium. Its description in RNAcentral is "partial 16S ribosomal RNA". It matches the Rfam family "Bacterial small subunit ribosomal RNA", at positions 568 to 774 of the family's 1533-position model. The record is from RNAcentral.